CCUACGGGAGACAGCAGUAGGGAAUAUUUCUCAAUGGGGGAAACCCUGAAGCAGCAACGCCGCGUGGAGGAUGAAGGUUUUCGGAUUGUAAACUGCUUUUGUUAGAGAAGAUAAUGACGGUAUCUAAUGAAUAAGCACCGGCUAACUCCGUGCCAACAGCCGCGGUAAUACGUAGGGUGCAAGCGUUACCCGGAAUCACUGGGCGUAAAGAGUGCGUAGGCGGGAUAGCAAGUCAGAUGUGAAAUUCUAGGGCUUAACCAUCGAACUGCAUUUGAAACUGUUAUUCUAGAGUAUGGGAGAGGUAGGUGGAAUUCUUGGUGUAGGGGUAAAAUCCGUAGAGAUCAAGAGGAAUACUCAUUGCGAAGGCGACCUACUAGAACAUAACUGACGCUGAUGCGCGAAAGCGUGGGGAGCAAACAGGAUUAGAUACCCGAGUAGUC
This 440-nucleotide ribosomal RNA is filed under the name uncultured bacterium. RNAcentral describes it as "partial 16S ribosomal RNA". It matches the Rfam family "Bacterial small subunit ribosomal RNA", at positions 338 to 795 of the family's 1533-position model. The record is from RNAcentral.